GACGAACGCUGGCGGCGUGCCUAAUACAUGCAAGUAGAACGCUGAAGAGAGGAGCUUGCUCUUCUUGGAUGAGUUGCGAACGGGUGAGUAACGCGUAGGUAACCUGCCUGGUAGCGGGGGAUAACUAUUGGAAACGAUAGCUAAUACCGCAUGACAUUGAUUAUCGCAUGAUAAUUGAUUGAAAGAUGCAAUUGCAUCACUACCAGAUGGACCUGCGUUGUAUUAGCUAGUUGGUGAGGUAACGGCUCACCAAGGCGACGAUACAUAGCCGACCUGAGAGGGUGAUCGGCCACACUGGGACUGAGACACGGCCCAGACUCCUACGGGAGGCAGCAGUAGGGAAUCUUCGGCAAUGGGGGGAACCCUGACCGAGCAACGCCGCGUGAGUGAAGAAGGUUUUCGGAUCGUAAAGCUCUGUUGUAAGAGAAGAACGGGUGUGAGAGUGGAAAGUUCACACUGUGACG
This 464-nucleotide ribosomal RNA is filed under the name Streptococcus sanguinis. RNAcentral describes it as "bacterial SSU rRNA". It matches the Rfam family "Bacterial small subunit ribosomal RNA", at positions 28 to 474 of the family's 1533-position model. The record is from RNAcentral. Lineage: Bacteria; Bacillati; Bacillota; Bacilli; Lactobacillales; Streptococcaceae.